UACGAGGGGGGCGAGCGUUGUUCGGAAUUAUUGGGCGUAAAGAGCUCGUAGGCGGUCUGUUGCGUCGGCUGUGAAAACCCGGGGCUCAACCCCGGGCCUGCAGCCGAUACGGGCAGACUAGAGUUCGGCAGGGGAGACUGGAAUUCCUGGUGUAGCGGUGAAAUGCGCAGAUAUCAGGAGGAACACCGGUGGCGAAGGCGGUUCUCUGGGCAUUACCUGACGCUGAGGAGCGAAAGUGUGGGGAGCGAACAGG
This 253-nucleotide ribosomal RNA is filed under the name uncultured bacterium. RNAcentral describes it as "partial 16S ribosomal RNA". It matches the Rfam family "Bacterial small subunit ribosomal RNA", at positions 524 to 776 of the family's 1533-position model. The record is from RNAcentral.